CCUAAAGUGAAACAAGUGCGCGUCGUGAUUAGUAUUUAGAAGGUGGCCAUUGUAGAACAAUAAAGUCAGUGUUGUUAGAAGCAUGCAGUGAAAGAAAUUGUUAAAAGCUAUUGUUAAAAGAUAAUGAAUGCAUGCAGUGUUAAAAGGACAAUUAUUAGUAGCUGUUAGUAUAAAGAGUGUUUUUUUGUAUUAGUACGAUAGCACGAAAAGUUAGUUGAAGAACAACGAAGCAUUGUUAAUAAGCUUAAAUCUACAAGGAAAAGGUCCACAAAGCGGGCCUUUUUCUGUUUCUUCAACCUUUUUAU
Molecule: long non-coding RNA, 305 nt
Filed under: Aedes aegypti (yellow fever mosquito)
Lineage: Eukaryota; Metazoa; Arthropoda; Insecta; Diptera; Culicidae
Description: lncRNA AAEL025087
Source: RNAcentral